This 1351-nucleotide long non-coding RNA is filed under the name Vulpes vulpes (red fox). Its description in RNAcentral is "lncRNA (ENSVVUG00000009752.1)". The record is from RNAcentral. Lineage: Eukaryota; Metazoa; Chordata; Mammalia; Carnivora; Canidae.
AUGAUCUCCAGGUCCUGGGAUGGAGCCUCUCAUUGGGCCUCCUGCUCUGCAGGGAGUCUGCUUCUCGCUCUCCCUCUGCUCCUGCCCACUGCUCUUUCUGUCUCUCUCUCUCAAGUAAAUAAACAAAAUCUAGAAGAAGAAGAAGAAGAAGAAGAAGAAGAAGAAGAAGAAGGAGGAGGAGUCGUCGUCACAGUAAACCCUCCCAAUAGAGAAAGCUGUCGAGGAGGGAGCUCCACUCCUCACCUGCCAAAGGGGUGUCUGCUGCUUCGCCUGUGUUUUCUCAACACGGGUGCACACAGUUUGCACAGAGGUUCUUCUGGAAUCCUGAGGACAGCAUUUCAGUGCAACGAAGCACCAUCCUCCCCACCCAGGUACCCACGGUCAGCAAGCAUUUCGUGUUGAAAGCUGGACAGCAACGGUUAAUGGGCAGUAAUCCCAGGCCUAGUGCUGCAUGAAGUGCUGUCAGAUUAGGUCAGAGAAGGACAAAUGUCUCCUGACAUUCUGCAUUCUGCAUGCAUGCAGUUGAUUCAUGUAGAUGCUCCAGUCAUUCCUUCAGGCAGCCCGGGAAGGCGCCGGGGGUGAAGAGACACGAAGGCUCUGGAAUCUGAAACUAUGAGAUCAAGUCCAGCCUCUGUCGUGGACUUGCCAGGUGACCUUGGGUACUCAUUCCUCCUGAGCCUUACCCGGUAAAUGGGGGCGAGCCUUUGGGGUUGUGGCGGAUAUCUCCUUUACUGGAUUAUUGUGAGAAUGACUUUUGAGCAUACAUGUGAAUAACUCCUGUAAUCACUAACAUCCCCUAAAAUGAGAAAAGCCAAAGAGGAUGAGAACUGAGAAGCUGUGGCAUUUGGGGCUUGAUAGAUCAUUGAUUUUAUUGAAAGCAGAAACUUGAUUGAGGAGAGGAUGGGAACGUGCAAGCAGCAACUGGGGGCAGUUUUGUUCCAAGAAGUUUCUUGUGUAUUUGCCUCCCCAAAUACAUUAGGCUUUUAAAACAGAGACUGUAUUUUAGUUUUUGAAAAAUAUCUCAAGCUCCGCAACAGCGGUACAUACCAGGUUAUCCUGUAUGACUGGCUGCUUAAGAUUUUAGUUAAAUAAGUGUUGAUGACAAAAGAAAGAAUGAAAGAAGACAACAGCUUUAGGUGAAGCAGAAUCAAAGGAAGUUUUCCCAUCUGGAUUUUUAAAAAUUUUAUUUUGAACACGAAAGACCCCCUGAAUAUAUUAAUUGUAAGAGAGCGUGCUGGGAAAAAUAGGGGAGAUCAAAGAUAUUUCAGAGGUUCAGGAAUAUUUCAAAUGGUGGAGCAAGCAGAAGGAAAUGAGAUCAAGAAUAAAGGGGACGGCUGUACUGAAAGAAGCA